AUUUAGUGGGGAAUAACUGUUGGAAACGACAGCUAAUACCGCAUAAUAUUGCUGGAUAAUUUCCAGUAAUGAAAGGAGCUUUCAAGCUCCGCUGAUUGAUGAGGAUGCGGCGCAUUAGCUAGUUGGUAGGGUAAUGGCCUACCAAGGCAAUGAUGCGUAGCCGAUCUGAGAGGAUGAACGGCCACAUUGGGACUGAGACACGGCCCAAACUUCUACGGAAGGCAGCAGUAGGGAAUUUUUCACAAUGGGCGAAAGCCUGAUGGAGCAAUGCCGCGUGACUGAUGAAGGUCUUCGGAUUGUAAAGGUCUGUUGUAAGGGAAGAAAUGGUAAAACAGGAAAUGGUUUUAUCUAUGACGGUACCUUACCAGAAAGCCACGGCUAACUAUGUGCCAGCAGCCGCGGUAAUACAUAGGUGGNAAGCGUUAUCCGGAUUUAUUGGGCGUAAAGGGUGCGUANACGGUUUUGCAAGUCUGAGGUUAAAUUUAGGAGCUCAACUCCUAAUCGCCUUGGAAACUACAAGACUAGAGUAUAGGAGAGG
RNAcentral lists this ribosomal RNA (538 nucleotides) under uncultured Spiroplasma sp. Its description in RNAcentral is "bacterial SSU rRNA". It matches the Rfam family "Bacterial small subunit ribosomal RNA", at positions 131 to 657 of the family's 1533-position model. The record is from RNAcentral. Lineage: Bacteria; Bacillati; Mycoplasmatota; Mollicutes; Entomoplasmatales; Spiroplasmataceae.